UACGAAGGGGGCUAGCGUUGCUCGGAAUCACUGGGCGUAAAGGGUGCGUAGGCGGGUUUUUAAGUCAGGGGUGAAAUCCUGGAGCUCAACUCCAGAACUGCCUUUGACACUGAAGAUCUUGAGUCCGGGAGAGGUGAGUGGAACUGCGAGUGUAGAGGUGAAAUUCGUAGAUAUUCGCAAGAACACCAGUGGCGAAGGCGGCUCACUGGCCCGGUACUGACGCUGAGGCACGAAAGCGUGGGGAGCAAACAGG
RNAcentral lists this ribosomal RNA (253 nucleotides) under uncultured bacterium. Its description in RNAcentral is "partial 16S ribosomal RNA". It matches the Rfam family "Bacterial small subunit ribosomal RNA", at positions 524 to 776 of the family's 1533-position model. The record is from RNAcentral.